This 23-nucleotide microRNA is filed under the name Euprymna scolopes. RNAcentral's name for it is "Esc-Mir-12548_5p (mature (guide))". The record is from RNAcentral. Lineage: Eukaryota; Metazoa; Mollusca; Cephalopoda; Sepiida; Sepiolidae.
ACCCUGCCUUACUCUAGUUACAU